AGGGAACGUGAGCUGGGUUUAGACCGUCGUGAGACAGGUUAGUUUUACCCUACUGACAAAGUAGAUACUGCGACAGUAGUCGAAGUUAGUACGAGAGGAACACUUCGUCCAGAUACUUGGUUAAUGCCGUUGUCUGAAAAGACAGUACGGCGAAGCUACCAUCUGCUGGAUUACGGCUGAACGCCUCUAAGCCGGAAUCCAUGCUGGAUAAGCAGUGUUGUACACCGUGCUCAAUGCUACAAGAAAAAGGACAGGUCAAAAUUCAUUGCUGCUUAUAUGGGCAAGCUCCGACAGGUUAAAUUCCAUCGGAUUGGAGCUUUGGCUCUGUUUCUCGAAAGGGAAGCUGGUUAGUAUUCCAGCGCCGAGACGUGGAUAAUAUGU
This 381-nucleotide non-coding RNA is filed under the name Perkinsus marinus ATCC 50983. Its description in RNAcentral is "Eukaryotic large subunit ribosomal RNA". It matches the Rfam family "Eukaryotic large subunit ribosomal RNA", at positions 2945 to 3401 of the family's 3401-position model. The record is from Rfam by way of RNAcentral. Lineage: Eukaryota; Perkinsozoa; Perkinsida; Perkinsidae.